UACGUAGGGGGCUAGCGUUGUCCGGAAUCAUUGGGCGUAAAGAGCGUGUAGGCGGUCCGGUAAGUCCACUGUGAAAGUCGGGGGCUCAACCCUCGAAUGCCGGUGGAUACUGUCGGGCUAGAGUGCGGAAGAGGCGAGUGGAAUUCCUGGUGUAGCGGUGAAAUGCGUAGAUAUCGGGAGGAACACCAGUGGCGAAGGCGACUACCUGGCCUGUUCUUGACGCUGAGGCGCGAAAGCUAGGGGAGCAAACGGG
This 253-nucleotide ribosomal RNA is filed under the name uncultured bacterium. Its description in RNAcentral is "partial 16S ribosomal RNA". It matches the Rfam family "Bacterial small subunit ribosomal RNA", at positions 524 to 776 of the family's 1533-position model. The record is from RNAcentral.